This 92-nucleotide ribosomal RNA is filed under the name Chinchilla lanigera (long-tailed chinchilla). Lineage: Eukaryota; Metazoa; Chordata; Mammalia; Rodentia; Chinchillidae. The record is from RNAcentral.
GUCUCCAGCCAUACUACCCUGAACGUGCCUGAUCUCAUCUGAUCUCGGAAGCUAAACAGGGUUGGGCCUGGCUAGUACUUGGUUGGGAGAAC